GGGGCUGGUGGAGCUGGUGUCGGU
RNAcentral lists this non-coding RNA (24 nucleotides) under Arabidopsis thaliana (thale cress). Lineage: Eukaryota; Viridiplantae; Streptophyta; Magnoliopsida; Brassicales; Brassicaceae. The record is from RNAcentral.